This 305-nucleotide ribosomal RNA is filed under the name uncultured bacterium. Its description in RNAcentral is "partial 16S ribosomal RNA". It matches the Rfam family "Bacterial small subunit ribosomal RNA", at positions 335 to 646 of the family's 1533-position model. The record is from RNAcentral.
UACCUACGGGGGGCAGCAGUGGGGAAUAUUGCACAAUGGGGGAAACCCUGAUGCAGCGACGCCGCGUGAGUGAAGAAGUAUUUCGGUACGUAAAGCUCUAUCAGCAGGGAAGAAAAAAAGUCCUUUGGACUUUGGACGGUACCUGACCAAGAAGCCCCGGCUAACUACGUGCCAGCAGCCGCGGUAAUACGUAGGGGGCAAGCGUUAUCCGGGUUUACUGGGUGUAAAGGGAGCGUAGCCGGCAGCGCAAGUCUGGAGUGAAAUGCCGGGGCCCACCCCCGGAACUGCUUUGGAAACUGUUAAGG